CACGUUGCAUCUGGGCCACAGUCUGUUGCGUGCAGCGCAUUCCUCACACGUACUCGUCGACGGACACGAAUAGCAGCAGCUGUUUUUUGUUCGGUGCACGCGCACGCCUAAAAGCACGCACACGUUGCAUAGAGACGGCGUACCUCAACGAGUCUUUCCUCUACAGCCGUUCGCGCGUUUGAGAAGAAGGGGGGCGUGUAUGGCACGCCCUGCGACUCAGGCAUACGUACGCGCAUACACCAACAGAGUCUUACGCAGCAGCCUGCGCGCCCUCCCACACACACACACACACACCACGCGCCCCUGGCGCACUUUGAAAGACGAAGGGUGGCGGAGAAAGGUCCUCUUGGUCGGCGACCGUUUCGGCAACGAUGAUGCGCUCCGUCUCACCAGCGACCGGGGUGGGCUCCACCAGCGUCAGCCAGCAUGUAGAGAGCAAGCCGACACUCAUGCAGCGUCGUCAGCAGCAGGGGCAGCCCUUCUCGAGUGGCGAUAGGGUGCAUCGGCCUGCGUCCGCGAUGCCGCCAGGAAAGAUGGCUGUCAGCCGCCACAAACUACGCCCUGCGUCCGUGGCGUCGUUUAGGAAAAAUACUUCAGGCGAGAUGGCCUCCAUCUGCCAGCAGCUUCACGAUGCGCUGCAGCAGCAGUCGCGCCUAGAGCUGCAGCGCCAGCAGCAGCUUGUCCAGUAUAGGCGCCAGCUGCGCACGCUCUGCGAUGACAACGCCACCCUGCGCAACAUUAUUCAAGCCGGGGAGAGACGAAAGCGCGAUGCGGAGGUGGCGGCCGCGGCGGGGCUCGUCAUGCCGACUGGGGCCCGGGCACACACGAAUGGUGCGCCGAAUGAGCCGGCGACCGUCACCGAAGCCGAGAUGGAGGCGCUGUCGCAGCGCAUCAACCUCGCACGCCGGCGGCGCAACAAGGUGCUGCAUGAAAUCAAGGUUGACGAGGCCGCCCUCGACGCCGAGGCGAAAUUACAAGAGUCUCUAGCGGAGCAGGCGCAGAUCGCGCUAGACCCGGCCAAGCUGCUGAUGGGCGCCAACCGACCGGUGUAUCUGCGCAUAAUGCGGCUUGAGCAACUCAUCAACAAGGUGCUCUCCAAGCAGCGCGUCGCUGGCGUCGUCUUGGCCAACUACCGGCACCAUCUGGGCAUUCUCUCCACCGAGGCGGCGCAGUACGAUGCGCAGCAAACGCUGCUGGAGAAGGAGUAUGCAGACCGCCACCGCGAUCACCUAAAGCUUCUCCAACUUUACGACACAGCGCGUGCGGCGUACGCGACAGCCGUCGAGGUCCUGCAGGUCGUUCAGAGGAACGCCUCGCGUAUGCGCACAGCAAAGGAGAAGGCGCUGCAACAGAAGCGGAGGGAGGUGGACAAGGACCUUGUGGCGACGCAGCAGCAAGAGCGCCGCGCGGUGGACUGGCAACAGCAGCUCGAGGAGGAAACCCAGAUGCUCGAGUCCGCAGAGAACACGAAAGCGCAGCUGGAGCGGCAACGCAUGAACUCCCACGCGGCCUUGACGGUGCUGCAGGUCACCAGUGCGUCGAGGGAGGACGGCACCGGCGAACCGUCCACCGGCACGGAUGAGCGUGUCGCUGCGUACGAAGUGGCCUUCCGUGACAUGAUGCGAGUGGCGAAGGUCAACACCCUUGAUGCCCUCGUCGAAGCCUAUCAGGCAGAGAUCGAGCAGCAGUAUCGUCUGCAGAACAAUCUAACCUACGUGCGAGAGGCGCAAGGGGCGCUGGAGCAAGAACUGCAGCACCUGCGCGAGCGGGUGAAGCAGACAAAGUACUGUGUUGGUGUCGCCACGCGACUCGCGACGGAGAGCACCGUGUUCGACGCGGCGUCAGCCAUCGUCGGCACGGCGCCGUCACCUUUGAUGGAGCGCGAGCUGCAGACGUUUGUGCGAGAGGAGAAGGAGUCCUUGGCCAUCCACGUCGGUGCCAACGAAGCGAACCAGGCCCUCGUCAUGGAGGUGGCGGAGCGCGUGAACCACUUGGCGGAGCUGGUGGCCGACUACCGCGCUGAUGUGCGUGUGCCGUGGAUCCAGUGCACCGCAGCGCUGGCGAAGCGCUCCUCGACGUUGCCGCUGCACGUUGCUGUGUUGGCGCAGAAGCUUCUAGCGUUGGCAGCAGACGCAGCCGGGGAGGCCGACCUUGGUCCAUCCUCUACCCUCUCCUCCCCCGUCAAGGACGCGGGGCACGGUGAGGGUGCUGUGCAUGACGACAAGGACAGCACCUCAGCCGCUGCAGUGGUGUCCUCGGUGCAGAUUGUGAUACCCGCCAACAACCGACGUGUCCCCCUGGCAUACGAAGGCGCAGGUGGCGGUGCGGGUGGGCCAGGACCCAGCGGCCGCCGCGGGAGAACGGCAGCCGAUGUUGCCGGUAUCUCCUCCUCCGCUGCCCGUGCGCUGCUGCACCCUCACGGAGCCGGGCCUGGCGGCCGUGAGGGCGGUGCGUUGGGGGCCUCCAUGAAUCAGCGGCGUAGGCGUUCGUCUGCUGCGGCCGGUGCCGGCUUCAUCGAGAGUACGGAGGACGAGGACGAUGUGCGCUUGGCCGUGGUGGCGGCGCUGCCCCCACCCGGCGGCCGCGUGCUCGACUUUGACGGUGCAUCAACGGACACGUCGGAGCUUCAUAGCGGGAUUCUCAACGGCAGCGACGCCGGCGGUGGUGCUCGUAGCGGCGGUGAUGGGGCUGGCGGCGACAGCGGGAGCUCACAUCGCGCAGCGGCCGUGACACGCGGUCGCCGUCAUUUCUCAAAGUUGCCGCGCCACAUGGCUACGGCGGGGGCAGCAGGUGCGCACCAAGCCAACGUGCAGUCGCUUGCGAGGGCAGUGGAAGACGAUCAAGAGGACCCGCUGCGGCGUGAGGAGGUGAAGCGCAUGUCGGAGCUGAUCCGUACUCGCCAGAAGCUCGAGGCAGAGAAAGAUUUGCGGCGACUUUAACCGAGGAAAAGCAGGGGGACGGGUGUGUAUGUGUGUGUGUGUGUGUGCGUAUGUGGUUGCGGAGAGCGGGAAGAGAGGACAUUGAACGUUCAGCACCUCCGCCCUUCCCAGCGCCGCUUCUCCUUCCGUUAUCGCCUCUGUCAUUGCCACCGACAUCACAAGCGAGGCAUGUAGUCGCGCACCGCAUCCUUCUCUCGCCCACCUUCUCCCAACGCACCACGACCACGACUGUGAAGGUGAGUUGAGGGGGCGGAAGGCGGGAGAGUCUUGACAGAGGACACGCAGAUGGCGCUGGCGUUGUUGUGAGCGACUCUGCGCGCGUGUGGCUCUCUCUCACUGUCGUGCGUAGACCACGUCAACGAACAUGUGUGCACCUGCGCACGGUGCAGAAUUUCAUAGAACUGCAGUGUCCGGGCUGCGAGAAGGUUCGUGCUCGUGUUUUGCUCGUAUGAUCUUUAUGCUUUGGACUAGUGCCCGUGAACUGACCGGCAUGGGCAGGCGCAGUGUGCGGGAGUCGGUGGGGGUGGGUGGACGCGCGAUGCGUUCGUCUCACUGCCUCUCCCGUCUGAUUCGCUGCCGUUGCCAAUCGAUGUUGAAGCCUCUCCUCGGCCCCACGUGACAGAUCCGGCGCAGGUGCAGUCGUUGUUAGCACAGGUGUGUAUAUUCCUGUACAUGUGUGAGUGUGUGGCCCCCCCCUCCGCCCUACACUGCAGCCCUGCUCUCUAGCCCUUCCAUCCAUAUCGCACACCUUAUGUGUCGUCACUAGGCGUGCGUGCGAGCAUGGGUUGGUGGUGUUCUCCAUACCUCAUGCAGUCGCUGGACGCUCCAGUGCAAAGUGGAGGGGCGUGGGGGCGGGCGGUGGUGGACAAUCGCGUGAUGGGCGUGAAGCAGCCGCGAUACACCCUCACGCCUCUUCCUUCCCUCGUUUUAUAUAGGUUCCUUCUGCCAUCAUGUAUGCCUGUGUGAUAGAGCGCCACGAUCUCGCCAACGUGUGCACCUGCAAGGAAACGAAAUGUGGCACCUCUGCGUGCGCGUGGGCUGCCGCAACACCGGGAGACGGCCACACGCUCGCCUUGCCGCCCCUACACCGUGGGGACCCCCUGCGCCCAUCCGGCUGCCACCUCCCCCCCCCUCCUCCCCCUACACACACCAACACCACCACCCCCAUCCCUAUCCUCUCGCUACUGCCCAG
Molecule: unclassified non-coding RNA, 4131 nt
Filed under: Leishmania donovani
Lineage: Eukaryota; Euglenozoa; Kinetoplastea; Trypanosomatida; Trypanosomatidae
Description: gene:LdHU3.10.1380(CDS-product:hypothetical_prote in_conserved)
Source: RNAcentral